This 800-nucleotide long non-coding RNA is filed under the name Mytilus galloprovincialis (Mediterranean mussel). The record is from RNAcentral. Lineage: Eukaryota; Metazoa; Mollusca; Bivalvia; Mytilida; Mytilidae.
AUAUAUUGACUGAAAAUUCAUCAAAAUGAUUGUGUAGUAAAUUUUCAGCAGCUCUGUAGCAAUUGAGUCUUUGAUUAUAAGGAAUGAAUAAUACCUGUGAACUGAAAGUGAAAAAAUCAUAAUUUCCUGAAGUUAAAAAUUCUAAUAUGAACAAAAACUAAGUUUGAAAUUGAUGAGGGUUGAAUUUUCAUCAAAUUAAUUAAACUUGCACACAUUAGUCGUCAUUUCUCAUUGAUUAUGUGAUUGCCAUUGUAAUAUAUCAAAUGAAAGCCAAAAUAAGAGAUAGCAAAAUGGAUAAAAAUAAUGUGCAAAAUAUGUAUGCAGUGCUAGCUGGCAAGAUGUCUUAAGAUUCAUGGUCUUGUGAUGUAAAAAAAUAUUAUGGAAAUCAAAUAUUCGAGUUGUUUUGUAUUUCUAGAUACUUAUUUAAUAAUAUUAUAACCCCUAAAUCUGUUUAAUACCUUUACAUAAUCAAUAAUCCAUAUUACUUAUAAGAGCAAAGACAUGAAAUUUUUGAACUAAUUAUUUAUAAAUUAAUUUAUUUUCAGAGUCCUGGGUCCUUAGGAUGGACACCACUGUUUAAAUGAACAAAGUUAGCCUGUGAUGUAAAUAUCGACAUUCCGUCCUGUCCUAAAAUUUUACAAACAUUUAUUGAAUUAUUUAUUUACACAUGUAUGUAUAUUGUUUUAAUAAAUCAUUUAUAAAAGAAAAAUAUUUGACUACCAUUUAACUUGAAGAGAUUAUUUGAAGAGAGUUAUUUUGUUGUCAUUUGCAGUCUUAGCUCCAUCCGUCUGAGUAUAUAG